Molecule: small nuclear RNA, 194 nt
Organism: Carcharodon carcharias (great white shark)
Lineage: Eukaryota; Metazoa; Chordata; Chondrichthyes; Lamniformes; Lamnidae
Product: U2 spliceosomal RNA
Exons: 1
Source: RefSeq, a predicted model, not a curated record
GUAAAAAACCAUCUGGUCCGCUAAUGUAGUAUCUGUUCUUAUCAGUUUAAUAUCUGAUAUGUCCCUUAUCUGGGGACCAUAUAUUAACUUGAUUUUUGGAGCAGGGAGAUGGAAUAGGGGAUUGCUCCAUCCGGAAAAAAAAAAAAUGUCCUUUAGAGAAGUAAGUCUGCUGUCCUUACCUUGUCUGGCCAACG